RNAcentral lists this ribosomal RNA (253 nucleotides) under uncultured bacterium. RNAcentral describes it as "partial 16S ribosomal RNA". It matches the Rfam family "Bacterial small subunit ribosomal RNA", at positions 524 to 776 of the family's 1533-position model. The record is from RNAcentral.
UACGGGGGGGGCAAGCGUUGUUCGGAAUUACUGGGCGUAAAGGGCUCGUAGGCGGCCAACUAAGUCAGACGUGAAAUCCCUCGGCUUAACCGGGGAACUGCGUCUGAUACUGGAAGGCUAGAGACUGGUAGAGGCGAGCGGAAUUCCUGGUGUAGCGGUGGAAUGCGCAGAUAUCAGGAGGAACACCAAUGGCGAAGGCAGCUCGCUGGGACGUGACUGACGCUGAGACGCGAAAGCGUGGGGAGCAAACAGG